RNAcentral lists this ribosomal RNA (329 nucleotides) under uncultured Flavobacteriaceae bacterium. RNAcentral describes it as "bacterial LSU rRNA". It matches the Rfam family "Bacterial large subunit ribosomal RNA", at positions 1 to 345 of the family's 2925-position model. Lineage: Bacteria; Pseudomonadati; Bacteroidota; Flavobacteriia; Flavobacteriales; Flavobacteriaceae. The record is from RNAcentral.
AAUAGGCUAAUUAAGAGCGUAAGGGGAAUGCCUUGGCUCUCAGAGGCGAUGAAGGACGUGAUAAGCUGCGAUAAGCUGUGGGGAGUGGCACAAACACUUUGAUCCGCAGAUUUCCGAAUGGGGUAACCCGGCAUAUUGAAGAUAUGUCACACUGUAAAGUGAGCGAACCUGGUGAACUGAAACAUCUAAGUAACCAGAGGAAUAGAAAACAAAAGUGAUUCCGCUAGUAGUGGCGAGCGAACGUGGAACAGCCUAAACCUAUGUUGUUACGGCAAUAUAGGGGUUGUAGGACCUCAACAUUUAAUGCUAAUAGAACUAGAAUUUACUGG